RNAcentral lists this ribosomal RNA (319 nucleotides) under uncultured Pseudomonadota bacterium. Its description in RNAcentral is "bacterial SSU rRNA". It matches the Rfam family "Bacterial small subunit ribosomal RNA", at positions 30 to 351 of the family's 1533-position model. Lineage: Bacteria; Pseudomonadati; Pseudomonadota. The record is from RNAcentral.
AUUGAACGCUGGCGGCAUGCCUUACACAUGCAAGUCGAACGGUAACGCGGGGCAACCUGGCGACGAGUGGCGAACGGGUGAGUAAUGCAUCGGAACGUGCCCAGUAGUGGGGGAUAGCCCGGCGAAAGCCGGAUUAAUACCGCAUACGACCUAUGGGUGAAAGCGGGGGAUCGCAAGACCUCGCGCUAUUGGAGCGGCCGAUGUCAGAUUAGGUAGUUGGUGGGGUAAAGGCCUACCAAGCCUACGAUCUGUAGCUGGUCUGAGAGGACGACCAGCCACACUGGGACUGAGACACGGCCCAGACUCCUACGGGUGGCAG